This 377-nucleotide unclassified non-coding RNA is filed under the name uncultured Bryobacterales bacterium. Its description in RNAcentral is "contains 16S-23S intergenic spacer region". The record is from RNAcentral. Lineage: Bacteria; Pseudomonadati; Acidobacteriota; Terriglobia; Bryobacterales.
UCCAGCUUAUCGCUGGCGGUCUCCUGCGAGUUCCGCCUUUCGGCAUGGCAACACAGGACGAGGGUUGCGCUCGUUGCGGGACUUAACCCAACAUCUCACGACACGAGCUGACGACAGCCAUGCAGCACCUCGACUCCACUCCCUUGCGGGAUAGAAAUGUUUCCACUUCCGUUGAGAAGCCGUUCGAGCCCAGGUAAGGUUCUUCGCGUUGCGUCGAAUUGAACCACAUGCUCCACCGCUUGUGCGGGCCCCCGUCAAUUCCUUUGAGUUUCAGCCUUGCGACUGUACUCCCCAGGCGGCACAUUUAACGCGUUAGCUCCGGCACGGAUCAACUGAAUGACCCACACCAAAUGUGCAUCGUUUAGGGCGUGGACUAC